AUGAUAGAAAAAAAAACUAAUGAGCACACAAGCCUUUGUUUUCUCCCUAACAAAUUGACUGCUUUACUUGCGAUGAUAGCAUGCAGAACUUUGUGUUUGUUGAUGGUGGAACUUGCACAAGUAAAUCCACACUUAGUCCGACAAAAUGAUGGCGGCUUCCAUGUAUCCAUGGAGCCGCCAGACCUGAGAAGUACAAAGAAUGAAAACAGGAGUAAAACUGGAGAUGUCAUGAACAUAAAUUUGUCAAAAGUGCAGGAUCAAUGCACAAUAUUUAUCAAACUGAAAGGUGCUAAUUGGUUUGGAAGUACAACAUUCACUUGA
This 321-nucleotide ribosomal RNA is filed under the name Triticum aestivum (bread wheat). RNAcentral describes it as "partial small subunit ribosomal RNA". Lineage: Eukaryota; Viridiplantae; Streptophyta; Magnoliopsida; Poales; Poaceae. The record is from RNAcentral.